UGGGGAAUAUUGGGCAAUGGGCGCAAGCCUGACCCAGCAACGCCGCGUGAAGGAAGAAGGCUUUCGGGUUGUAAACUUCUUUUAUGAGGGACGGAAACAAAU
RNAcentral lists this ribosomal RNA (102 nucleotides) under uncultured bacterium. RNAcentral's name for it is "partial 16S ribosomal RNA". It matches the Rfam family "Bacterial small subunit ribosomal RNA", at positions 355 to 456 of the family's 1533-position model. The record is from RNAcentral.